Molecule: ribosomal RNA, 497 nt
Filed under: uncultured bacterium
Lineage: Bacteria
Description: partial 16S ribosomal RNA
Rfam family: Bacterial small subunit ribosomal RNA
Source: RNAcentral
GAUGAACGCUGGCGGCGUGCCUAAUACAUGCAAGUCGAGCGAACGGACGAGAAGCUUGCUUCUCUGAUGUUAGCCGCGGACGGGUGAGUAACAAGUGGAUAAUCUACCUAUAAGACUGGGAUAACUUCGGGAAACCGGUGCUAAUACCGGAUAAUAUUUUGAACCUCUUGGUUCAAACGUGAAAGCCGGUCUUGCUGUCACUUAUAGAUGGAUCCGCGCUGCAUUAGCUAGUUGGUAAGGUAACGGAUUAGCAAGGCAACGAUGCAUAGCCGACCUGAGAGGGUGAUCAGUAGCACGGGAGCGAGGACGAGGACCCGACACCGACGGGAGGCAGCAGUAGGGAAUCUUCCGCAAGGAGCGGAAGCCUAUCGUAGGAACGGCGCGUGAGUGAGGAGGAUCUUCGGAGCGUGAAACUCUGUUAUUAGGGAAGAACAUAUGUGUAAGAAUCUGGACACAACUUGACGGUACCUAAACAGAAAGCCACGGCUAACUACGUG